UGCAAGUCGAGCGCGGGAAGCGAGCUGAUCCCUUCGGGGUGACGCUCGUGGAACGAGCGGCGGACGGGUGAGUAACACGUGGGCAACCUGCCUGUAAGAUCGGGAUAACUCCGGGAAACCGGGGCUAAUACCGGGUAAUACUUUCUUUCGCAUGAAGGAAAGUUGAAAGAUGGCUUCUCGCUAUCACUUACAGAUGGGCCCGCGGCGCAUUAGCUAGUUGGUGAGGUAACGGCUCACCAAGGCGACGAUGCGUAGCCGACCUGAGAGGGUGAUCGGCCACACUGGGACUGAGACACGGCCCAGACUCCUACGGGAGGCAGCAGUAGGGAAUCUUCCGCAAUGGACGAAAGUCUGACGGAGCAACGCCGCGUGAACGAUGAAGGUCUUCGGAUCGUAAAGUUCUGUUGUUAGGGAAGAACAAGUACCGUGCGAAUAGAGCGGUACCUUGACGGUACCUAACGAGGAAGCCCCGGCUAACUACGUGCCAGCAGCCGCGGUAAUACGUAGGGGGCAAGCGUUGUCCGGAAUUAUUGGGCGUAAAGCGCGCGCAGGCGGUUCCUUAAGUCUGAUGUGAAAGCCCACGGCUCAACCGUGGAGGGUCAUUGGAAACUGGGGAACUUGAGGACAGAAGAGGAGAGUGGAAUUCCACGUGUAGCGGUGAAAUGCGUAGAUAUGUGGAGGAACACCAGUGGCGAAGGCGACUCUCUGGUCUGUUUCUGACGCUGAGGUGCGAAAGCGUGGGUAGCAAACAGGAUUAGAUACCCUGGUAGUCCACGCCGUAAACGAUGAGUGCUAGGUGUUAGGGGGCUUCCACCCCUUAGUGCUGAAGUUAACGCCAUUAAGCACUCCGCCUGGGGAGUACGCCGCAAGCUGAAACUCAAGUAUUGACGGGGGCCCGCACAAGCCGUGGAGCAUGUGGUUUAUUCGAGCACCGCGAAG
Molecule: ribosomal RNA, 939 nt
Filed under: Halobacillus sp. 10%3
Lineage: Bacteria; Bacillati; Bacillota; Bacilli; Caryophanales; Bacillaceae
Description: bacterial SSU rRNA
Rfam family: Bacterial small subunit ribosomal RNA
Source: RNAcentral